CGGCAGCACGGGGGCAACCCUGGUGGCGAGUGGCGAACGGGUGAGUAAUAUAUCGGAACGUGCCCAGUCGUGGGGGAUAACGUAGCGAAAGUUACGCUAAUACCGCAUACGAUCUACGGAUGAAAGCGGGGGAUCGCAAGACCUCGCGCGAUUGGAGCGGCCGAUAUCAGAUUAGGUAGUUGGUGGGGUAAAGGCUCACCAAGCCAACGAUCUGUAGCUGGUCUGAGAGGACGACCAGCCACACUGGGACUGAGACACGGCCCAGACUCCUACGGGAGGCAGCAGUGGGGAAUUUUGGACAAUGGACGCAAGUCUGAUCCAGCCAUUCCGCGUGCAGGACGAAGGCCUUCGGGUUGUAAACUGCUUUUGUACGGAACGAAAAAGCUCUUACUAAUACUAGGAGUCCAUGACGGUACCGUAAGAAUAAGCACCGGCUAACUACGUGCCAGCAGCCGCGGUAAUACGUAGGGUGCGAGCGUUAAUCGGAAUUACUGGGCGU
RNAcentral lists this ribosomal RNA (499 nucleotides) under uncultured Burkholderiales bacterium. RNAcentral's name for it is "bacterial SSU rRNA". It matches the Rfam family "Bacterial small subunit ribosomal RNA", at positions 67 to 561 of the family's 1533-position model. Lineage: Bacteria; Pseudomonadati; Pseudomonadota; Betaproteobacteria; Burkholderiales. The record is from RNAcentral.